AGGAUGUUUCGGGUACCGCCUCGGUUUAAAUUUCUUGGAACAGAAUGUCAAAGAGGGUGAGAAUCCCGUCUUGGACCGGCGGUAGGGCCCAUGUGAAACUCCUUCGACGAGUCGAGUUGUUUGGGAAUGCAGCUCAAAAUGGGUGGUAAAUUUCAUCUAAAGCUAAAUAUUGGCCAGAGACCGAUAGCGCACAAGUAGAGUGAUCGAAAGAUGAAAAGCACUUUGAAAAGAGAGUUAAACAGUAUGUGAAAUUGUUGAAAGGGAAGCGCUUACAACCAGACUUGAGCGCGGCGGUUCCCCCUUCCUUUUGGUUGGGUUACUCCGUCGUGUCCAGGCCAACAUCGGUUUCGGGGGUCGGUUAAAGACCUUGGGAAUGUAUCUACCCUUCGGGCGUAGACUUAUAGCCCAGGGUGUCAUGCGGCCUCCCGGGACCGAGGAACGCGCUUCGGCUCGGAUGUUGGCGUAAUGGUUGUCAGCGACCCGUCUUGAAACACGGACCAAGGAGUCUAACAUCUAUGCGAGUGUUUGGGUGUCAAACCCGGAACGCGAAAUGAAAGUGAACGGAGGUAGGAAGCCUUGAGGCUGCACUAUCGACCGAUCCUGAUGUCUUCGGAUGGAUUUGAGUAAGAGCAUAGCUGUUGGGACCCGAAAGAUGGUGA
RNAcentral lists this ribosomal RNA (659 nucleotides) under Veronaea botryosa. RNAcentral describes it as "eukaryotic LSU rRNA". It matches the Rfam family "Eukaryotic large subunit ribosomal RNA", at positions 156 to 829 of the family's 3401-position model. The record is from RNAcentral. Lineage: Eukaryota; Fungi; Ascomycota; Eurotiomycetes; Chaetothyriales; Herpotrichiellaceae.